This 60-nucleotide transfer RNA is filed under the name Hysteromorpha triloba. Its description in RNAcentral is "tRNA-Ser". Lineage: Eukaryota; Metazoa; Platyhelminthes; Trematoda; Diplostomida; Diplostomidae. The record is from RNAcentral.
GGGGAUUUUAUUUGAUCGCUGCUAACGAUUAGUUGAGUUUUUGUUUUUGCUCGGUUCCUU